AACAGUGUGUGUAUACACACCUUACAGUCUAUGAUACACACCCACACGGUAUAUAAGUGGUGAGGGUGAGGGUGGUGUGCGCGCGCGGUGAUCGGUUACAGUCGGGUGAGUGAGCGGACAGAGACGGAAUUCUCUUCUGUUGACUCGGACAGCAGGACUCUCACUCUGGAUCUAUUAUGUCUUAAUGUAGCCUAUAUUCAGCGUGAUUUUAUAAACAUUCUAGAUUGUUCUUUAUUUCUCCUCUUCACACAGAUUCAAAUAGUGUGUAGAAAGAAGAAAACACGGAGAGAAAACUGCUGGAGCAUCAGAAACCACAGACGAGCAAAAACCAACAGGACAGAGAGAGAAAUGGAGGAGAGAGAUGAGACACAAACCAGCGGAGAGAAAAACAGACAGACAGCUGUUAGACGAGAGAGUAUGGAGAAAAAGCCAAACUUCUCACGUGAUCCAGAAAGGCCUGUAAAGUUUCAUUCAGAUGUUCUCAAGAACACACAACAUCAGUGACGUCCAGAAACAGACUGAACAUCAUCAUCAUCUUCAUCAUCUUCAUCACUCCAGACUACAGACUGUUCAGAUCCUUUUUCAGACUCGAUCAGAAACAAUCAAGACUUAUGAACGGAUUCUUUCUCACAUAAUUGAUAACUGUGUUUUAUUGCUUUACAAAAAUGUUUGUAUCAUUUUGCACUACAAUUCAUGUAUAAUGUAUAUUUUUGUAUUUCUGUAUAUUUUCAUAUAUUUCAUAGAUACCGUAUUUUAUUUAUAUUAUUCAGCAUAAUUCUGUAGUUUAUUUUUUAAAGCAUUAAUUAAUCAUCAUUUUAUCCUAUUGUAAAUUAUGCAGCAACCAUUGGAGGAUAAUAAUGGUUCAGUUUAUUUCAUCUGUACAGUUUACAUAUGCACACAUUAUUCUGAAGGAAUCUGAUACAGUUUUACAGUAAUCUCACAUAUAAUCAGCUUUUUACUGUAUGAUACGGUACAGCCAAUUUAAAACAGUUUUUUCUAUACAUGAUGUCUAGAAUUAACUGUAAAUAAGUAUUAAACAUAAAAAAAAAAAAACAUUUUACUGUAAUAAAUCUGUUUCAGGAGAGAAUAAGCCUGCUUAAGAUUGAAAUAAAUGAAUAAAUAAUAUAUUGUGCUUAAAACUGCAUCACAAACCAAAGAUACUUAUGCAUAAUACAAACAAUAAACAAAAAUGUCACUAUCCAAAGACUUUAUAUUGACUACGCAGGUUUGUUUAAAUGUGACAAAACGGUUUUAAAACAUCUUUCUUAAGGUGUUAUUUACAAGAAGAAACGAUCUGAAAACCAGUCAAAUACAUUUGAACAUUUAAACGCAGAGUUUUCAUCCUUACACUUUAAUUGCUGAGCUGUCAUGUUUUCACGACCAAACUCUCGAACACUUCAAAACACGCCAGACUUAAACCUGUGGCCUGAGAUCUAGAGACAGUCGUGGGGUUCAUAUACUGUAUGUCAUAUGUGCUGAAAUACUGGAUCAUAGAUAUUAUGAAAACACUCGUCUGAGCUCUGACUCUACAAACUCAUGAAUGUGAUGCAGAUCUAGAGAUCUGUUCAGUGUGUCAUGCUGUAUUGAGUCGCUCUCUACUGGAGAUCAUCAGUAUUACAGAAGAUCAACAGCUGACAGAAAACCCACAUCCACAGAUACAUUUCUAUUAUCAUAAAAAAAAAAAAAAUCACAAUUAAAAUAUGCUUAAUUUUAAUGCUAAUCACUUGGUUUUUUUUUUCUUUUUUUUUUUUCUUUCUUUUCUUUUGAAUCUGGGGUGAAAUUAGACCUGGCUAUGUUUUAAACGGGGCAACAACAAGCACACAAUUAUUCAAUAUAAACCUGUGAUAGAAAAGCCUGUCAAUCAUCAUUAGAGCACCACAACACUGCAUGAUCUCUGUAAUCUUAGGAAAGAACAUUUCUGCCUUAUGAACAGUGACAGUCACAUUUGACCCACAUUUCCUUUGGCUUUGAGCUGCCAAAAAAGCUCCAUAUAAACAACAUGAAGGUUCUCCGUUCUGUGUAAAGGCUGAGUCACUCGACGGUCGGCCACACCUUGUGUUUCUUGCGCUGAAGUAAGGACAGCUUGUCCUGCUUUAUCUACGAGGUGUACGGAGGGAUGUUGAAUGCCAAGAAUGUUGUUGUUUUUGAGGAAAUUACGUGAUCCACUGCGAGCACUUUCGUUAUCAGGCAACAACGAUGUGCACACUCAUGGAGUAUAAGCUGGAAGAGCAAGAUCUGAGGAAUGCUGUAGUAACCCCUUUAUUUAUUUAUUUUUUUUUUUAUUCCUGAACGAAAUCACAAUGUUGAGAUCAAUUUAACAAUUAAUUAGCUGUUUGCAGAGUCAUACAUUUUAAUUUAACCAGUCAGGUGGACAUUUACAUUUACCUGAACUUCAGCUACACGUUUACUAAACUUAACGUUUUAAUUUUACUGUGAGUUGGAAAAUGAUCUGGAAUUAGUGAGGGUUUUCUAAUAAAGUGCAGAUAUAAUGUUUAAGAAACAGCUGCACCAUAACAAGAAUAGCCAGAAUAGCAGUGUACAGUGAGACAAGAUUAUUUACUUUUACAAAUAAUUAGAAUUGAAUUUAAGAAAUAUAUUGAUACUAAUAUUUUUCUAGUGAUCUAUUAGUCUGUAUUUUCAUUGAGCAUAUCUAUUUCGGCAUGCCGUGUUUUUGUCUCGUGCAUCACUAUAUCAGCUGCAGCUUCAGACUGAAUCACGCAUUUAUAUGUAAUGUUAGAUAAUAUCACUACCAAAACUUCGCAGUGGCUGUCGGUCCUCUUACCAGCAUGAAAAACAAUACUUUUUUUUCUUUGUUCAGCGGAUUAUAGCUGUAUAGCAUUGAAAGUGUGAAAGACUGCUCACUUUACAAUCACUAGAAAGCUGUCACUCAUCUCAGUUCAGUUCGCGAUCUCACGAGUUUAGUAAUAAAUAAUGAUGUUAUUGCCUUCAGUAGAGUUUCUCAGAAAUGAAUGUUUUGAAUGAAAUAAUCUGUACUGCAUAAAGCUAGAAAUAAACGUGACUUAACUUGUGCUCGACUGCAUCAACAGAAUAUAACAACAGACAGGUAUGCAAUAAAUCAUGAUAUUACACUUACA
Long non-coding RNA from Onychostoma macrolepis, 3095 nucleotides. RefSeq lists it as uncharacterized. NCBI's taxonomy places the organism in Eukaryota, Metazoa, Chordata, Actinopteri, Cypriniformes, Cyprinidae. The record is from RefSeq and is a predicted model, not a curated record. The transcript is spliced from 3 exons.